GAUGAACGCUGGCGGCGGGCCUAAUACAUGCAAGUCGAGCGAACGAACGAGAAUCUUUCUUCUCUGAUGUUAGCGGCGGACGGGUGAGUAACACGUGGAUAACCGACCUAUAAGACUGGGAUAACGUCGGGAAACCUAAGCUAACACAGGACCAUAUGGUGAAAGGGAGGGAUCAACAGUGAAAGACGGUCUUGCUGUCACUUAUAGAUGGAUCCUCGCUGGAUUAGCUAGUUGGUAAGGUAACGGCCUACCAAGGCAACGAUGCAUAGCCGACCUGAGAGGAUGAUCGGCCACACUGGAACUGAGACACGGUCCAGACUCCUACGGGAGGCAGCAGUAGGGAAUAUUCGACAAUGGGCGAAAGCCUGACGGAGCAACGCCGCGUGAGUGAUGAAGGUCUUCGGAUCGUAAAACUCUGUUAUUUGGGAAGAACAUAAGUGUAAGUAUCUCUUCAUAUCUUGACGGUACCUACAGAGAAAGCCACGGCUAACUACGUG
Molecule: ribosomal RNA, 497 nt
Filed under: uncultured bacterium
Lineage: Bacteria
Description: partial 16S ribosomal RNA
Rfam family: Bacterial small subunit ribosomal RNA
Source: RNAcentral